AGUGAACGCUGGCGGUAGGCCUAACACAUGCCAGUCGAACGGCAGCACAGUAAGAGCUUGCUCUUACGGGUGGCGAGUGGCGGACGGGUGAGGAAUACAUCGGAAUCUACUUUUUCGUGGGGGAUGACGUAGGGAAACUUACGCUAAUACCGCAUACGACCUACGGGUGAAAGCAGGGGAUCUUCGGACCUUGCGCGAUUGAAUGAGCCGAUGUCGGAUUAGCUAGUUGGCGGGGUAAAGGCCCACCAAGGCGGCGAUCCGUAGCUGGUCUGAGAGGAUGAUCAGCCACACUGGAACUGAGACACGGUCCAGACUCCUACGGGAGGCAGCAGUGGGGAAUAUUGGACAAUGGGCGCAAGCCUGAUCCAGCCAUACCGCGUGGGUGAAGAAGGCCUUCGGGUUGUAAAGCCCUUUUGUUGGGAAAGAAAAGCAGCAGGUUAAUACCCCGCUGUUCUGACGGUACCCAAAGAAUAAGCACCGGCUAACUUCGUG
This 492-nucleotide ribosomal RNA is filed under the name uncultured bacterium. RNAcentral describes it as "partial 16S ribosomal RNA". It matches the Rfam family "Bacterial small subunit ribosomal RNA", at positions 29 to 507 of the family's 1533-position model. The record is from RNAcentral.